GAUGAACGCUGGCGGCGUGCCUAAUACAUGCAAGUCGAGCGAACAGACGAGACGCUUGCUUCUCUGACGUUAGCGGCGGACGGGUGAGUAACACGUGGAUAACCUACCUAUAAGACUGGGAUAACUUCGGGAAACCGUAGCUAAUUCCGGAUAAUGUCUUGAACCGCAUGGUUCAAUAGUGAAAGACGGUCUUGCUGUCACUUAUAGAUGGAUCCGCGCUGCAUUAGCUAGUUGGUAAGGUAACGGCUUACCAAGGCAACGAUGCGUAGCCGACCUGAGAGGGUGAUCGGCCACACUGGAACUGAGACGCGGUCCAGACUCCUACGGGAGGCAGCAGUAGGGAAUCUUCCGCAAUGGGCGAAAGCUUGACGGAGCAACGCCGCGUGAGUGAUGAAGGUCUUCGGAUCGUAAAACUCUGUUAUUAGGGAAGAACAGAUGUGUAAGUAACUGUGCACAUCUUGACGGUACCUAAUCAGAAAGCCACGGCUAACUACGUG
This 497-nucleotide ribosomal RNA is filed under the name uncultured bacterium. RNAcentral's name for it is "partial 16S ribosomal RNA". It matches the Rfam family "Bacterial small subunit ribosomal RNA", at positions 28 to 507 of the family's 1533-position model. The record is from RNAcentral.